Armigeres subalbatus is the source of this 381-nucleotide long non-coding RNA. RefSeq lists it as uncharacterized. The transcript is spliced from 3 exons. The record is from RefSeq and is a predicted model, not a curated record. Lineage: Eukaryota; Metazoa; Arthropoda; Insecta; Diptera; Culicidae.
UUACCUUCGUGAUUUCCGGUGACGAAAUUAAUUCGGCGGUUAAUCUGAGGAUUAUUGAAGUGAUCAGAUUCACUUCGAACUGAUCCGUGGAAGAGGCAGGAGUGGCCCAAGUUGUUCUCGCGCCGUGGUAGUUACUUAAAGUUCUUAGAUAGAGAGUCGUGUGUGCGUUAGUUACGAUCGGUGUGUUAUCGUGUGUGCUGGUGGUUUAAAUCAGAUUCGUGACCACAUCGCCACGACGCCCGAGACACCACAACGAACCGUCGAGGCCAUUCUUGACCCCACCAUCAGGCUGCGAGGUUUUCCCGGGGCACGCCGGAAGAGGGACGCGAUCGCCAAUCAACGCGCCCUAGGCAGGGCAUCACCGAAGAAGAAGAGAGAAGA